GACGAACGCUGGCGGCGUGCUUAACACAUGCAAGUCGAACGGAAAGGCCCUGCUUUUGUGGGGUGCUCGAGUGGCGAACGGGGGAGUAACACGUGAGUAACCUGCCCUUGACUUUGGGAUAACUUCAGGAAACUGGGGCUACUACCGGAUAGGAGCUCCUGCUGCAUGGUGGGGGUUGGAAAGUUUCGGCGGUCGGGGCUGGACGCGCGGCUGAUCAGCUUGUUGGUGGGGGAGUGGCUUGCCAAGGCUUUGACGGGUAGCCGGCCCGAGAGGGUGACCGGCCACCUGGGGACUGCGAUACGCCCCAGACUCCUACGGGGGGCAGCAGUGGGGAAUAUUGCACAAUGGGCGGAAGCCUGAUGCAGCAACGCCGCGUUCGGGAUGACGGCCUUCGGGUUGUAAACCGCUUUCGCCUGUGACGAAGCGUGAGUGACGGUAAUGGGUAAAGAAGCACCGGCUAACUACGUG
This 468-nucleotide ribosomal RNA is filed under the name uncultured bacterium. RNAcentral's name for it is "partial 16S ribosomal RNA". It matches the Rfam family "Bacterial small subunit ribosomal RNA", at positions 28 to 507 of the family's 1533-position model. The record is from RNAcentral.